ACCGUUAAAAGUGAAACAUGAUUUAUUAAAUGAAGGAAAACACACACACACACACUUGGUGUGCGUGGGGCGAUCAGGAAUAAGAAGAACAAGGGUUCAAACCCUUGUUCUUGAUAAAUCUUCAAAUUGAAGGGUGGAAUGAAGUCCAAAUUCACAACCGAACAUGAAUUAACGAUCACCUUCACAAGGGGAUCAUAAGGAAUCAUGUCAAGAUGGAUGGGAGCUUUGAAGGCUAACGGGCUAAGAAGACUCAAUCAAGUAAGCGAACGAGAAUACGGACGCGCAAGGCUAUACAUGUUUGGAUGUUUCAUCUAGAAGCGUACGCGGUUGAAGAUCGAGUCAAGACACGGAUUGUAUGUGGGUGUAUACGUAGUCACUUAAGUAAGACAUGUAUGUUAGUUUUUGGAUUAAAUUAUAAAAGAGAUUAAUGUAUUUAAAUGAAAGAAAGAAUAUCAUGAAGGAAAUUUCUAGAUAUGUAGUUUCCGCUGCGAAUCUUAGGUUAAAACGUUUUAGGGCGUUACAACUUUGUAGUAACUUGUUCACGAUAUCGAUACGCCCAAUUUGUCAUCAUCAAGUGUUAUGUAUUUCCGUUUCGACCAUUC
Helianthus annuus (common sunflower) is the source of this 602-nucleotide long non-coding RNA. RefSeq lists it as uncharacterized. The transcript is spliced from 2 exons. The record is from RefSeq and is a predicted model, not a curated record. NCBI's taxonomy places the organism in Eukaryota, Viridiplantae, Streptophyta, Magnoliopsida, Asterales, Asteraceae.